UUAGCGGAGAGUUUGAUCCUGGCUCAGGAUGAACGUUGGCGGUGUGCCUAAUACAUGCAAGUCGAACGGAGUUAAUAGCAAUAUUGACUUAGUGGCGAACGGGUGAGUAACGCGUUGGUGAUCUG
This 125-nucleotide ribosomal RNA is filed under the name Anaerolineaceae bacterium. RNAcentral describes it as "partial 16S ribosomal RNA". It matches the Rfam family "Bacterial small subunit ribosomal RNA", at positions 1 to 128 of the family's 1533-position model. The record is from RNAcentral. Lineage: Bacteria; Bacillati; Chloroflexota; Anaerolineae; Anaerolineales; Anaerolineaceae.